Molecule: non-coding RNA, 85 nt
Organism: Cordylochernes scorpioides
Lineage: Eukaryota; Metazoa; Arthropoda; Arachnida; Pseudoscorpiones; Chernetidae
Source: the annotation of a GenBank genome assembly
GAGGGGGUCGGUGGAAGGCUGGUUAAACCGUUUGGUUUUCGACCACUAGGACCCGGGUUCGAGUCCCGCAUUGGACACUUUUUCU